UGCUGGAGGUAUCAGAAGUGCGAAUGCUGACAUAAGUAACGAUAAAGCGGGUGAAAAGCCCGCUCGCCGGAAGACCAAGGGUUCCUGUCCAACGUUAAUCGGGGCAGGGUGAGUCGACCCCUAAGGCGAGGCCGAAAGGCGUAGUCGAUGGGAAACAGGUUAAUAUUCCUGUACUUGGUGUUACUGCGAAGGGGGGACGGAGAAGGCUAUGUUAGCCGGGCGACGGUUGUCCCGGUUUAAGCAUGUAGGCGGAGGUUCCAGGUAAAUCCGGUACCUUUUAACGCUGAGGUGUGAUGACGAGGCACUACGGUGCUGAAGUAACAAAUGCCCUGCUUCCAGGAAAAGCCUCUAAGCAUCAGGUAACAUUAAAUCGUACCCCAAACCGACACAGGUGGUCAGGUAGAGAAUACCAAGGCGCUUGAGAGAACUCGGGUGAAGGAACUAGGCAAAAUGGUGCCGUAACUUCGGGAGAAGGCACGCUGGUGUGUAGGUGAAGUCCCUGCGGAUGGAGCUGAGACCAGUCGAAGAUACCAGCUGGCUGCAACUGUUUAUUAAAAACACAGCACUGUGCAAACACGAAAGUGGACGUAUACGGUGUGACGCCUGCCCGGUGCCGGAAGGUUAAUUGAUGGGGUUAUCCGUAAGGAGAAGCUCUUGAUCGAAGCCCCGGUAAACGGCGGCCGUAACUAUAACGGUCCUAAGGUAGCGAAAUUCCUUGUCGGGUAAGUUCCGACCUGCACGAAUGGCGUAAUGAUGGCCAGGCUGUCUCCACCCGAGACUCAGUGAAAUUGAACUCGCUGUGAAGAUGCAGUGUACCCGCGGCAAGACGGAAAGACCCCGUGAACCUUUACUAUAGCUUGACACUGAACAUUGAGCCUUGAUGUGUAGGAUAGGUGGGAGGCUUUGAAGCGUGGACGCCAGUCUGCGUGGAGCCAACCUUGAAAUACCACCCUUUAAUGUUUGAUGUUCUAACGUAGGCCCCUGACCGGGGUUGCGGACAGUGUCUGGUGGGUAGUUUGACUGGGGCGGUCUCCUCCCAAAGAGUAACGGAGGAGCACGAAGGUUAGCUAAUCCUGGUCGGACAUCAGGAGGUUAGUGCAAUGGCAUAAGCUAGCUUGACUGCGAGCGUGACGGCGCGAGCAGGUGCGAAAGCAGGUCAUAGUGAUCCGGUGGUUCUGAAUGGAAGGGCCAUCGCUCAACGGAUAAAAGGUACUCCGGGGAUAACAGGCUGAUACCGCCCAAGAGUUCAUAUCGACGGCGGUGUUUGGCACCUCGAUGUCGGCUCAUCACAUCCUGGGGCUGAAGUAGGUCCCAAGGGUAUGGCUGUUCGCCAUUUAAAGUGGUACGCGAGCUGGGUUUAGAACGUCGUGAGACAGUUCGGUCCCUAUCUGCCGUGGGCGCUGGAGAAUUGAGGGGGGCUGCUCCUAGUACGAGAGGACCGGAGUGGACGCAUCACUGGUGUUCGGGUUGUCAUGCCAAUGGCACUGCCCGGUAGCUAAAUGCGGAAGAGAUAAGUGCUGAAAGCAUCUAAGCACGAAACUUGCCCCGAGAUGAGUUCUCCCUGAGACUAUAAGUCUCCUGAAGGAACGUUGAAGACGACGACGUUGAUAGGCCGGGUGUGUAAGCGCAGCGAUGCGUUGAGCUAACCGGUACUAAUGAACCGUGAGGCUUAACCUU
Molecule: ribosomal RNA, 1677 nt
Filed under: Klebsiella variicola
Lineage: Bacteria; Pseudomonadati; Pseudomonadota; Gammaproteobacteria; Enterobacterales; Enterobacteriaceae
Also listed under: 1 other name
Description: partial 23S ribosomal RNA
Rfam family: Bacterial large subunit ribosomal RNA
Source: RNAcentral